CUGUUUCGACCUGUGUAGGGCUGAUAUAGUGAAUAUGGGUAUCUAUACCACCCGGUGUUAAGAUAUAGCCAGAUCCGCCAUGCACUUCGGUAGAAGCGCCAAUAAUCAUAUUUGGCGUAAUGUUAUCCAUUGUAUCCGGAUUUCCAGCACGGCCGACACCGACAAUCUUACCAUCCUUGAUACCGAUAUCACCUUUCACAAUUCCCCAGUGGUCAAUCACGAUAGCAUCGGUGAUCACCAUAUCCAAGGUGCCUUCAUCACGUGUGUGAACGGAAGAUUGACACAUACCGUCACGUACGG
This is a non-coding RNA of Sphingobacterium sp., 300 nucleotides long. The record is from Rfam. NCBI's taxonomy places the organism in Bacteria, Pseudomonadati, Bacteroidota, Sphingobacteriia, Sphingobacteriales, Sphingobacteriaceae.